GAGGACGCGAAUUAGGGCAGAAGGCUAGGGUCAGUUUGGGUCGCUAGUGUAGGAAAUUACUUGGUGGGGGUAUUAUUCUUGUUAUGAUACCUUGUUUCAUGCUUUAUUACGAAUCUGUUUACUUUUCUCUGUUUUCUAUUACUUGUGGGUGUCGUAUUUAUGUUAUGCCAUCUUGUUCUAUGAUUUACUAUGAAUUUGUUUAGUAUGCCGUGUCUCGAGCCGAGGGUC
RNAcentral lists this long non-coding RNA (228 nucleotides) under Capsicum annuum. Its description in RNAcentral is "long non-coding RNA (CANN_LNC000158)". Lineage: Eukaryota; Viridiplantae; Streptophyta; Magnoliopsida; Solanales; Solanaceae. The record is from RNAcentral.